GAGUUUGAUCGUGGCUCAGAUUGAACGCUGGCGGCAUGCCUUACACAUGCAAGUCGAACGGCAGCAUGAUCUAGCUUGCUAGAUUGAUGGCGAGUGGCGAACGGGUGAGUAAUACAUCGGAACGUGCCCUGUAGUGGGGGAUAACUAGUCGAAAGAUUAGCUAAUACCGCAUACGACCUGAGGGUGAAAGUGGGGGACCGCAAGGCCUCAUGCUAUAGGAGCGGCCGAUGUCUGAUUAGCUAGUUGGUGGGGUAAAGGCCCACCAAGGCGACGAUCAGUAGCUGGUCUGAGAGGACGAUCAGCCACACUGGGACUGAGACACGGCCCAGACUCCUACGGGAGGCAGCAGUGGGGAAUUUUGGACAAUGGGCGAAAGCCUGAUCCAGCAAUGCCGCGUGUGUGAAG
This 405-nucleotide ribosomal RNA is filed under the name uncultured microorganism. Its description in RNAcentral is "bacterial SSU rRNA". It matches the Rfam family "Bacterial small subunit ribosomal RNA", at positions 9 to 410 of the family's 1533-position model. The record is from RNAcentral.